Pelobates cultripes (western spadefoot toad) is the source of this 177-nucleotide non-coding RNA. Lineage: Eukaryota; Metazoa; Chordata; Amphibia; Anura; Pelobatidae. The record is from the annotation of a GenBank genome assembly.
GACUUCGCUGAACACAAAUAUUAGUGUUUCAAAAUGAUAAAUUGUAUUACAACGAUUAUAUAUUUAGUAAAAGUGAAGUUUUUUGCAUUUUUCACACACGAACGGCACUUUUACUGACGAUAUUGUUGCAAUAUGUUUUUCUGUUUUGAAACACUUAUUUUUGUGUUCGGUGAAGUC